GACGAACGCUGGCGGCGUGCUUAACACAUGCAAGUCGAGCGGUAAGGCCCUUUCGGGGGUACACGAGCGGCGAACGGGUGAGUAACACGUGGGUGACCUGCCCUCAGCUCUGGGAUAAGCCUGGGAAACCGGGUCUAAUACUGGAUAUGACUCCAUGACGCAUGUUGUGGGGUGGAAAGCCUUGUGCGGCUGAGGAUGGGCCCGCGGCCUAUCAGCUUGUUGGUGGGGUGANGGCCUACCAAGGCGACGACGGUAGCCGGCCUGAGAGGGCGACCGGCCACACUGGGACUGAGACACGGCCCAGACUCCUACGGGAGGCAGCAGUGGGAAUCUUGCGCAAUGGGCGAAAGCCUGACGCAGCGACGCCGCGUGAGGGAU
RNAcentral lists this ribosomal RNA (378 nucleotides) under uncultured bacterium. RNAcentral describes it as "bacterial SSU rRNA". It matches the Rfam family "Bacterial small subunit ribosomal RNA", at positions 28 to 409 of the family's 1533-position model. The record is from RNAcentral.